UGGGCUGUGGCUCAGUGGUAGAGCACAUGCCUAUCAUGUGUGAGGCACUGGGUUAGAUUCUCAGCACCACAU
RNAcentral lists this transfer RNA (72 nucleotides) under Marmota monax (woodchuck). It matches the Rfam family "tRNA". From Rfam's summary of the family: Transfer RNA (tRNA) molecules are approximately 80 nucleotides in length. Their secondary structure includes four short double-helical elements and three loops (D, anti-codon, and T loops). Lineage: Eukaryota; Metazoa; Chordata; Mammalia; Rodentia; Sciuridae. The record is from Rfam by way of RNAcentral.